RNAcentral lists this long non-coding RNA (320 nucleotides) under Homo sapiens (human). RNAcentral describes it as "non-protein coding lnc-LRRTM1-2:2". Lineage: Eukaryota; Metazoa; Chordata; Mammalia; Primates; Hominidae. The record is from RNAcentral.
UUGGGAAAAAAGAGGUAUAUGAAGGAAUUACGUGCUGAAAGAGAUAUACAUAUGGGCUUUCUUGACAUUAAGCGGCCUGGCCAUUUCGAUUUCUCAUUGGCUCUUGAACAGAUAAAGGAACCAUGUGGGAGGAGAAUGAAGAUGCACCCUGCCUUGUCAGGCACUGAAUGGGACAACUAUAGUGGGGCUCAAAGGGGGUGAAUCCCCUAUUUAAAGUGUUGAAGAUCACCAAGAGAGAAGGCAAGGGCUGCAGCUCUUAAAGCCUGGAACGGUUUGGACACUGCAACUUUUCCUACAUAAGGGAAGGUCCUUUAAGCACG